AUGCUGGCGCCCGACGAGCCCAAAGAUGAUGUGUUGUCUUUACUGGUGUUUUCCUCCUGGAAUAACCACUGGGAGAGUCGAGAGUUUGUGCCCAGGAAUUGCACUCCCCAGCAUCUCAGCGACUUAUUGCCGGUGUCAAGAUACAAAGACUACACGAUUAUAUGGAAAUCAGCUAAGUAUUGGCGAGGAUCGCUCUAUGUGCAUUGCCACAACAACAUUCUUAUGAUCGUACGCAACUCACAAGAGAUGUAUGAUAUGGUCCAGCUGCCAGGGAAACCCUGCAACAAUGAAGAAGUCACCUUCGAGCAGGGCCUUCCCAUUAAGUCCAUCCUAGCGCGUUAUGAGAAAGGGAUUUAUUAUGUGGCAAUCGACAUGUUCCAGCUCCAGGUAUGGACAUUGUCAGAACCAGUUGACGGGUAUUUAGCAUGGACAUUGAUGCAUGAGGCCAACCUUGCUCCAUAUGGUCAUCAACUGGAGAGUAAAUAG
This 486-nucleotide ribosomal RNA is filed under the name Triticum aestivum (bread wheat). RNAcentral describes it as "partial small subunit ribosomal RNA". Lineage: Eukaryota; Viridiplantae; Streptophyta; Magnoliopsida; Poales; Poaceae. The record is from RNAcentral.